Molecule: ribosomal RNA, 513 nt
Filed under: uncultured bacterium
Lineage: Bacteria
Description: bacterial SSU rRNA
Rfam family: Bacterial small subunit ribosomal RNA
Source: RNAcentral
GGCAUGCCUAAGACAUGCAAGUCGAACGAGACGACCUUAGGAAAACUGAGUGCUUGCACGAAGUUGGAAUGAGAUCAUCGUCUAGUGGCAGACGGGUGAGUAACACGUGGGUAACCUACCUAGAAGUUGGGGAUAACAGUUGGAAACGACUGCUAAUACCGAAUAAGAUAUUCGGUAUUGAAAGAAGCCCUUAAAGCUUCACUUUUUAGAUGGGCCUGCGGCGUAUUAACUAGUUGGUGAGGUAAUGGCUCACCAAGGUAACGAUGCGUAGCCGAACUGAGAGGUUGAACGGCCACACUGGGACUGAGACACGGCCCAGACUCCUACGGGAGACAGCAGUUAGGAAUAUUCGUCAAUGGGGGAAACCCUGAACGAGCAAUGCCGCGUGAGUGAUUGGAAGGCCCUAUGGGUUGUAAAACUCUGUUGUAUGGGAAGAACGGCUAUAUUAGGAAAUGAAUAUAGAGUGACGGUACCAUACGAGAAAGCUCCGGCUAACUACGUGCCAGCCGCCGC